GAAAUAAGGGGGCCAAGAAAAAGCUGCUAACUUUAUUCUUUAGCGGUUCAACUCCGUUUUUGUUUCU
This 67-nucleotide transfer RNA is filed under the name Flavoperla sp. YW-2019. RNAcentral's name for it is "tRNA-Ser". Lineage: Eukaryota; Metazoa; Arthropoda; Insecta; Plecoptera; Perlidae. The record is from RNAcentral.